UUUCCAGUUUGAACGAGAUCUACAGAAGAUAAAUUGCCACAUAGCGCUAAAUGCUCACACAGAUAUCGACCGCGCGUUCCUCUCUGCCGGGGUACCCAUGACAACCAUCAAGACUGAUAGCCAGCUUUGUUCUUUAAGGAUAAAGAGAUUCGACACUUUUAAAAAUGGAAAUCCGAAACAAUAUUGUUCAACAGUUCACUGGCGGGAAGAAAUCUAAUUGUGUUAGCCAGCGAGAUGUCUAUAGAGAGAUGGGUCGUUACUUCGGGGUUCAACUUGAGAUAUCUUUAAGCACUUCAUACUUCACAAGACAGCUCCUGUGUUGAUGCUCAGUUGUUGCUAAGCAGAAAACAACAGGUUGUCUCCAGCGGACUGGGUCUACACAGAAUUGAAGUCUCUUCCCCUUCCCUGCUGUACUCUCUGAAACAGAAGAUGUUAUUGAAGUUUUUAACAGCUACAAAUUGAGUGAGGAGUCUUGGUGCUUCAAAUUAAAAGCUGCAAGGGAAGCAUGCUGGUUACUGGGUCCAU
Molecule: long non-coding RNA, 525 nt
Organism: Aplysia californica (California sea hare)
Lineage: Eukaryota; Metazoa; Mollusca; Gastropoda; Aplysiida; Aplysiidae
Exons: 2
Source: RefSeq, a predicted model, not a curated record